Strongylocentrotus purpuratus (purple sea urchin) is the source of this 721-nucleotide long non-coding RNA. RefSeq lists it as uncharacterized. NCBI's taxonomy places the organism in Eukaryota, Metazoa, Echinodermata, Echinoidea, Camarodonta, Strongylocentrotidae. The transcript has 3 exons. The record is from RefSeq and is a predicted model, not a curated record.
CACUACCAUCUUGCUGUGAAUCUACAGGGGAACUUAAUUUGGAUUUCUAUUUCUUAUGCCACCAUACAUUUUGUUUCCUGUGGGAUUGAGAUCUGCUCACAAAUGAGAUUUCUUUGUGGAUGACAUAAUUUUGGGGAUAAAUCAAGCUAAAUUGGCAGGACAUCUGAAUUCCUGUAUCGCAGGAAUCUCAUCUGACUGUGGGAGUAUAAUCUGACCGACUGCUUUAUCAAUAGCAUCCACUGGACCUUGAUUCUUAUAUCAUUACUGACCAAUCAACAAACAAGGAUGUAUAUCAAAAUAGCAGCCGUUGCCUGUAUUGUAGUCUGCUCAUUAAUUGGUUUGUAUAUGUCAGAAAUUGGUUUCUUCACAAUGUUCCUCAUAGCAUUCAUCGUCUUCUCCGCCAUGUUGGUUGCCAUGGGUUUUGAUCAUGCUAUGAUCGCUUACAGCAAGACACAUGUUUCACCAGACAGAAGAGCAUCUAGACUUCCAGACCUUAACCUUAAUAAGGACCAGUAACAACUCAGUGCUGCAAGUGCAGUUGUCCAUGCUUUCUGCAUAUAUAUCUCGCAUAUCGCUAGAAAGAAGACUUUUCAUGAAGAGACAAUGUUUUUGAGAUUUAAUUCAUGAUAAUGAUCCUCCUCAUCUCCAUCGCGAACCAAAUUUGGAAUGAAAGUUUGAUGCUUCCUCACUAGGGAAGCUAGAUGAGACCGAGAAAUCAUUC